UAAAAAGUAAGCUAAAUUUUAAGCUUUUGGGUUCAUACCUCAACCAUAGAUUAAUUCUCUUUUUAA
RNAcentral lists this transfer RNA (66 nucleotides) under Waoraniella jarlinsoni. Its description in RNAcentral is "tRNA-Met". The record is from RNAcentral. Lineage: Eukaryota; Metazoa; Arthropoda; Insecta; Psocodea; Lachesillidae.